Molecule: ribosomal RNA, 716 nt
Filed under: uncultured bacterium
Lineage: Bacteria
Description: bacterial SSU rRNA
Rfam family: Bacterial small subunit ribosomal RNA
Source: RNAcentral
AUUAGAUACCCUGGUAGUCCACGCAGUAAACGAUGAAUACUAACUGUCCGGGUCGAUUGAGACCUGGGUGGUACAGCGAAAGCGUUAAGUAUUCCACCUGGGGAGUACGCCGGCAACGGUGAAACUCAAAGGAAUUGACGGGGGCCCGCACAAGCGGAGGAACAUGUGGUUUAAUUCGAUGAUACGCGAGGAACCUUACCCGGGCUCAAACGACGGAUGAAUGUUUUUGAAAGGAGGCAGCCCUUCGGGGCGUCCGUCGAGGUGCUGCAUGGUUGUCGUCAGCUCGUGCCGUGAGGUGUCGGCUUAAGUGCCAUAACGAGCGCAACCCCCAUCGCCAGUUACCAUCAAGUAAAGUUGGGGACUCUGGCGAGACUGCCGGCGCAAGCUGCGAGGAAGGCGGGGAUGACGUCAAAUCAGCACGGCCCUUACGUCCGGGGCGACACACGUGUUACAAUGGCAGGCACAGAGAGAAGCGACAUGGCGACAUGAAGCGGAACUGUCAAAACCUGUCUCAGUUCGGAUUGGAGUCUGCAACCCGACUCCAUGAAGCUGGAUUCGCUAGUAAUCGCGCAUCAGCCACGGCGCGGUGAAUACGUUCCCGGGCCUUGUACACACCGCCCGUCAAGCCAUGGAAGCCGGGAGUGCCUGAAGUGUGCAACCGCAAGGAGCGCCCUAAGGUAAAACCGGUGACUGGGGCUAAGUCGUAACAAGGUAAC